CCUACGGGUGGCAGCAGUGGGGGAUAUUGCACAAUGGGGGCAACCCUGAUGCAGCGACGCCGCGUGAGCGAUGGAGUACUUCGGUAUGUAAAGCUCUGUCAGCAGGGAAGCGAAUGACGGUACCUGACCACGAAGCCCCGGCUAAAUACGUGCCAGCAGCGGCUGUAAUACGUCUGGGGCAAGCGUUAUCCGGAUUUACUGGGUGUAAAGGGAGCGUAGGCGGGAGGGCAAGGCUGAUGUGAAAGCCCGGGGCUCAACCCCGGGACUGCAUUGGGAACUGCCCCGCUCGAGUGCCGGAGGGGGAGGCGGAAUUCCUAGGGGAGCGGUUAAAUGCGUAGAUAUUAGGAGGAACACCAGUGGCGAAGGCGGCCUGCUGGACGGUGUACUGACGCUGAGGCUCGAAAGCGUGGGGAGCAAACAGGAUUAGAUACCCUAGUAGUA
Molecule: ribosomal RNA, 441 nt
Filed under: uncultured bacterium
Lineage: Bacteria
Description: partial 16S ribosomal RNA
Rfam family: Bacterial small subunit ribosomal RNA
Source: RNAcentral